RNAcentral lists this transfer RNA (87 nucleotides) under Candidatus Sungiibacteriota bacterium. Its description in RNAcentral is "Candidatus Sungbacteria bacterium tRNA-Ser". It matches the Rfam family "tRNA". From Rfam's summary of the family: Transfer RNA (tRNA) molecules are approximately 80 nucleotides in length. The record is from RNAcentral. Lineage: Bacteria; Candidatus Sungiibacteriota.
GGUGGGGUCGCAUAGUGGUCUAGUGCGGCACGGUGCUAACGUGCUGACCCUUCACGGGGUCCGUGGGUUCGAAUCCCACCCCCACCG